GUCUAUGGCAACACCACCGUCAAAACACCCAGACUUGUUGGAUCUUGGAAGUUAAGCAGGGUCAGACCUGGUUAGUACUUGGAUGGGAGACCGCCUGGGAAUACUGGAUACUACAUUCC
Molecule: ribosomal RNA, 119 nt
Filed under: Sphenodon punctatus (tuatara)
Lineage: Eukaryota; Metazoa; Chordata; Lepidosauria; Sphenodontia; Sphenodontidae
Source: RNAcentral